Molecule: long non-coding RNA, 285 nt
Filed under: Elaeis guineensis (African oil palm)
Lineage: Eukaryota; Viridiplantae; Streptophyta; Magnoliopsida; Arecales; Arecaceae
Description: long non-coding RNA (EGUI_LNC071783)
Source: RNAcentral
CUUCUCACAGAUACACCAUUGAGCUGAGGUGUACAAGGAGAAUUCCAUCAUGACACUGUGUCAUUUUUUUUAGAUAAUCGAUAAAUUUUUUAUUUGAUAUUACAUCUUCGAUCUGAUCAAAGUAUCUUUAAGAUUUUUUUUAUUUUUUUUUCUACUUCACAUCUGAAUUUUUUGAACCUUUCAAAGUCUUUCAGAUUUGUAUCUCACAUAUAUACCUAUUCCAUGACUGUUCAUCGGUAAAGGUGAUGAAGUAGUGAUAACUUCUUAGUCUGGCUCAUCAAAUGG